CCUAAGCUCCAGUUGCCAUCUGAAGGUGGGGACAUAUAGGGUGGCCCUGCUGGCAGACUCUUCCUGUUGCCGAGGUUCAAGGGUCUAAAACUUGCUGCUCUCCGGGCCCUGGACCUAUGGACAGUGUCUUCCAGCUCGUGGAAUGUGUGCUGGGGAACUGGGGAAUGCUGGGUUUGAGGGCUUGCCCUAGGCCACGUUCUCACCUGUCAUCUCUCCUCUGUUUGGACCCAGCGCUGCCUGUGCCCCUAGCAGGAGCCCUGGUGCUACCCCCUGUGAAGAGCCAAGCAGCAGGGCACGCCUGGCUCUCCCUGGAUACCCACUGUCACCUGCACUAUGAGGUGCUGCUGGCUGGGCUUGGUGGCUCAGAACAAGGCACUGUCACUGCCCACCUCCUUGGGCCUCCUGGAACGCCAGGGCCUCGGCGGCUGCUGAAGGGAUUCUAUGGCUCAGAGGCCCAGGGCGUGGUGAAGGACCUGGAGCCAGAGCUGCUGCGGCACCUGGCAAAAGGCACGGCCUCCCUGCUGAUCACCACCAAGGGUAGCCCCAGAGGGGAGCUCCGAGGGCAGGUAGGUGGGGAGUGUGGGCAGUGGGGGCAGUGGGGAGGGUGCAGAGUUGGAGGCGCACUGUGUGCCCUUACACUAGUUACUUGCUGUCUCUGAGUCCUGGGGAUGGUCGUAUCACACCCCUCUGGCUGGUGGGGAGGAUGAGCUACAUGAGGAGGCUGGCAACCCGGCACCCUAUCCCUGGCAGCUGAGAUGAUUGUGGAGCGAAUGGCAUCCUCCUGGGCCACUGCAGCGCUCAGGGGGCUGAGGUGUCUCCAGCUGCCGCUGGUAAAGACGCGAGGGGGAGCCCCAGCGCCGCCUCAAUUGGCCUGUCCUCCCAGGUGCACAUCGCCAACCAAUGUGAGGUGGGCGGACUGCGCCUGGAGGCGGCCGGGGCCGAGGGGGUGCGGGCACCAGGGGCUCUGGAUACAGCUGCUGCUGCGCCGCCUGUGGUGCCUGGUCUCCCGGCCCUAGUGCCCGCCAAACCUGGUGGUCCUGGGCGGCCCCGAGACCCCAACACAUGCUUCUUCGAGGGGCAGCAGCGCCCCCACGGGGCUCGCUGGGCGCCCAACUACGACCCGCUCUGCUCACUCUGCACCUGCCAGAGACGAACGGUGAUCUGUGACCCGGUGGUGUGCCCACUGCCCAGCUGCCCACACCCGGUGCAGGCUCCUGACCAGUGCUGCCCUGUUUGCCCUGAGAAACAAGAUGUCAGAGACCUGCCAGGGCUGCCGAGGAGCCGGGACCCAGGAGAGGGCUGCUAUUUUGAUGGUGACCGGAGCUG
RNAcentral lists this small RNA (1326 nucleotides) under Pongo abelii (Sumatran orangutan). RNAcentral describes it as "retained intron". Lineage: Eukaryota; Metazoa; Chordata; Mammalia; Primates; Hominidae. The record is from RNAcentral.